This 253-nucleotide ribosomal RNA is filed under the name uncultured bacterium. RNAcentral's name for it is "partial 16S ribosomal RNA". It matches the Rfam family "Bacterial small subunit ribosomal RNA", at positions 524 to 776 of the family's 1533-position model. The record is from RNAcentral.
UACGUAGGGGGCUAGCGUUGUCCGGAAUUAUUGGGCGUAAAGAGCUCGUAGGCGGUUUGUCGCGUCGAAUGUGAAAACCCGGGGCUCAACCCCGGGCCUGCAUUCGAUACGGGCAGACUAGAGUUCGGUAGGGGAGUCUGGAAUUCCUGGUGUAGCGGUGAAAUGCGCAGAUAUCAGGAGGAACACCGGUGGCGAAGGCGGGGCUCUGGGCCGUAACUGACGCUGAGGAGCGAAAGCGUGGGGAGCGAACAGG